RNAcentral lists this ribosomal RNA (266 nucleotides) under uncultured bacterium. Its description in RNAcentral is "partial 16S ribosomal RNA". It matches the Rfam family "Bacterial small subunit ribosomal RNA", at positions 87 to 354 of the family's 1533-position model. The record is from RNAcentral.
CUAUCUUAGUGGCGGACGGGUGAGUAACGCGUGGGUAACCUGCCUUGCACUGGGGGAUAACACUUAGAAAUAGGUGCUAAUACCGCAUAACAGGAGAAGACGCAUGUCUUUUCCUUAAAAACUCCGGUGGUGUAAGAUGGACCCGCGUCUGAUUAGCUUGUUGGCGGGGUAACGGCCCACCAAGGCAACGAUCAGUAGCCGGCCUGAGAGGGUGAACGGCCACAUUGGGACUGAGACACGGCCCAAACUCCUACGGAAGGCAGCAG